GAACGGGUGAGUAAUGUAUCGGAACGUGCCCAAUAGUGGGGGAUAACUACUCGAAAGAGUGGCUAAUACCGCAUAUACCUUGAGGGGGAAAGAGGGGGAUCGCAAGACCUCUUGCUAAUGGAGUGGCCGAUAUCGGAUUAGCUAGUUGGUGGGGUAAAGGCCUACCAAGGCGACGAUCCGUAGCUGGUUUGAGAGGACGACCAGCCACACUGGGACUGAGACACGGCCCAGACUCCUACGGGAGGCAGCAGUGGGGAAUUUUGGACAAUGGGGGCAACCCUGAUCCAGCCAUUUCGCGUGUAUGAUGAAGGCCUUCGGGUUGUAAAGCACUUUUGUCGGGGAAGAAAUAGCGAAGGUGAAUAGCUUUUGUGAAUGACGGUACCUGAAGAAUAAGCACCGGCUAACUACGUGCCAGCAGCCGCGGUAAUACGUAGGGUGCAAGCGUUAAUCGGAAUUACUUGGCGUAAAGCGUGCGCAGGCGGUUCGGAAAGAGAGAUGUGAAAUCCCAGGGCUUAACCUUGGAACUGCAUUUUUAACUACCGGACUAGAGUAUGUCAGAGGGGGGUGGAAUUCCGCGUGUAGCAGUGAAAUGCGUAGAGAUGCGGAGGAACACCGAUGGCGAAGGCAGCCCCCUGGGACGAGACUGACGCUCAUGUACGAAAGCGUGGGUAGCAAACAGGAUUAGAUACCCUGGUAGUCCACGCCCUAAACGAUGUCAACUAGCUGUCAGGGCUUUCGGGCUUUGGUAGCGCAGCUAACGCGUGAAGUUGACCGCCUGGGGAGUACGGUCGCAAGAUUAAAACUCAAAGGAAUUGACGGGGACCCGCACAAGCGGUGGAUGAUGUGGAUUAAUUCGAUGCAACGCGAAAAACCUUACCUACCCUUGACAUGUCUAGGAUCCUAAAGAGAUUUAGGAGU
RNAcentral lists this ribosomal RNA (918 nucleotides) under uncultured Burkholderiales bacterium. RNAcentral describes it as "bacterial SSU rRNA". It matches the Rfam family "Bacterial small subunit ribosomal RNA", at positions 100 to 1015 of the family's 1533-position model. Lineage: Bacteria; Pseudomonadati; Pseudomonadota; Betaproteobacteria; Burkholderiales. The record is from RNAcentral.